Molecule: ribosomal RNA, 497 nt
Filed under: uncultured bacterium
Lineage: Bacteria
Description: partial 16S ribosomal RNA
Rfam family: Bacterial small subunit ribosomal RNA
Source: RNAcentral
GAUGAACGCUGGCGGCGUGCCUAAUACAUGCAAGUCGAGCGAACAGAUGAGGAGCUUGCUCCUCUGACGUUAGCGGCGGACGGGUGAGUAACACGUGGAUAACCUACCUAUAAGACUGGGAUAACUUCGGGAAACCGGCGCUAAUACCGGAUAAUAUAUUGAACCGCAUGGUUCAAUAGUGAAAGACGGUUUUGCUGUCACUUAUAGAUGGAUCCGCGCCGCAUUAGCUAGUUGGUAAGGUAACGGCUUACCAAGGCAACGAUGCGUAGCCGACCUGAGAGGGUGAUCGGCCACACUGGAACUGAGACGCGGUCCAGACUCCUACGGGAGGCAGCAGUAGGGAAUCUGCCGCAAUGGGCGAAAGCCUGACGGAGCAACGCCGCGUGAGUGAUGAAGGUCUUCGGAUCGUAAAACUCUGUUAUUAGGGAAGAACAAAUGUGUAAGUAACUAUGCACGGCUUGACGGUACCUAAUCAGAAAGCCACGGCUAACUACGUG